Molecule: ribosomal RNA, 632 nt
Filed under: uncultured bacterium
Lineage: Bacteria
Description: bacterial SSU rRNA
Rfam family: Bacterial small subunit ribosomal RNA
Source: RNAcentral
GUCGAGCGAAGCACUUUGUUUUGAAUCUUCGGAGGAAGAACGAAGUCGACUGAGCGGCGGACGGGUGAGUAACGCGUGGGCAACCUGCCUCAUACAGGGGGAUAACAGUUAGAAAUGACUGCUAAUACCGCAUAAGACCACGGUACUGCAUGGUACAGUGGUAAAAACUCCGGUGGUAUGAGAUGGGCCCGCGUCUGAUUAGCUGGUUGGUGAGGUAACGGCUCACCAAGGCAACGAUCAGUAGCCGACCUGAGAGGGUGAACGGCCACAUUGGGACUGAGACACGGCCCAAACUCCUACGGGAGGCAGCAGUGGGGAAUAUUGGACAAUGGGGGGAACCCUGAUCCAGCGACGCCGCGUGAGUGAAGAAGUAUUUCGGUAUGUAAAGCUCUAUCAGCAGGGAAGAAAGAAAUGACGGUACCUGACUAAGAAGCCCCGGCUAACUACGUGCCAGCAGCCGCGGUAAUACGUAGGGGGCAAGCGUUAUCCGGAUUUACUGGGUGUAAAGGGAGCGUAGACGGCAGUGCAAGUCUGAAGUGAAAGGCGGGGGCCCAACCCCAGGACUGCAUUGGAAACUGUUAGGCUGGAGUGUCGGAGAGGUAAGCGGAAUUCCUAGUGUAGCGGUGAAAUGC